UACCUGGUUGAUCCUGCCAGUAGUCAUAUGCUUGUCUCAAAGAUUAAGCCAUGCAUGUCUAAGUAUAAACAAGUUUGUACUGUGAAACUGCGAAUGGCUCAUUAAAUCAGUUAUAGUUUAUUUGAUGAUAUCUUGCUACAUGGAUAACUGUGGUAAUUCUAGAGCUAAUACAUGCAAUCAAAGCCCCGACUUCUGGGAGGGGUGUAUUUAUUAGAUAAAAAACCAACGCGGCUCGCCGCUCGUUUGGUGAUUCAUAAUAACUUCUCGAAUCGCAUGGCCUUGUGCCGGCGAUGCUUCAUUCAAAUAUCU
This 309-nucleotide non-coding RNA is filed under the name Serpula lacrymans var. lacrymans S7.3. RNAcentral's name for it is "Eukaryotic small subunit ribosomal RNA". It matches the Rfam family "Eukaryotic small subunit ribosomal RNA", at positions 1 to 308 of the family's 1831-position model. Lineage: Eukaryota; Fungi; Basidiomycota; Agaricomycetes; Boletales; Serpulaceae. The record is from Rfam by way of RNAcentral.